AUUCCUUUUUCUGCUCGUCUACCCACAGUAUCCGCUGAAGAUCCCAAUCAUCUGGGUGUAUCUUGAUUUGCCGAUACAUUUUUGUGAUGUCUGUGGCGAACAAGAACUUGCGUCGGCGGAUCCAGAUGAGCAAAUCGAAGAUAUUGAGCAUCAGAUUCGGACCAGCGUGCAUGAGAUCAUUGACAGAGUAGCCGGUGGAGCUGGCGCUUUAGCCGCAAUUGCAGCACAACCUACGCUCCUUGACCAAUUUCACACGUUGCGCCAGUGAGUAGUCUCGCAGCUUUGGGCACAUCACGAUGAAAUGAUCCUGACCGCAACAGUCACACGGAUAUGGUGAUCGACGCUGAGUUGUCUGCUGAGUUGUCUUCGUGGGUGCUGGUGAUGAGCGGUCUUGAGGCUGCUGAGACGCCUGGUGUGAGCUAGCACGCUUAGGUAUGGCUCCCUUCGCAGCGCUGGAUUGAACAGGCGUCGGCGUUUCAUCUAUGUUUUCCAAGGUACGUGCACGCGCCAUUAGAAACGCUGUGAGUUGGCUG
This 533-nucleotide unclassified non-coding RNA is filed under the name Athalia rosae (coleseed sawfly). RNAcentral describes it as "misc RNA ENSAEAG00005007655.1". Lineage: Eukaryota; Metazoa; Arthropoda; Insecta; Hymenoptera; Athaliidae. The record is from RNAcentral.